CCCAGAGACCCAGGAAAAAGGAAGGGGUUCAGCAGCCUUCUGUGAUGGCUGACGUCCCUGAGGUGGAAGGCUGGGGAGGGACAAGAUAUACGUCAUUGCCUAAUCCAUUCACUGAUUCUAUGCUCAAGGUCACAUCUCCUCCGUUGGACAGGUCAAAGCGGGAGGAAGGCUUUCUGUACGGUUACUUGCAUCCAAGGCACCUAUGGGGGAACAGCUUACAUCUGUGUCUGAACAGAACUCCUUGUGGGCAACCAUCAAGACCAGAGCUUGGAAGGAGGACAAGGAACCAGAUGUAGAGAUGUUCUGUAGGUGGAGAGCCAGCUCCUUCAGGUUCUGUUCACCACCGAGGAAUGAGAGAAGAUCCAAAAUGAGGCCAGGAAAUUGGUUUCUGGUGACAAUGGUCAACCCACCACCAAUGCUGACACUAUCAACACUUCUUUUCCUCUGUCUCAACUCAACUGGGACUUCAACAUGGCAGAAGGUAAGGAGAG
Heterocephalus glaber (naked mole-rat) is the source of this 491-nucleotide long non-coding RNA. The record is from Ensembl. Lineage: Eukaryota; Metazoa; Chordata; Mammalia; Rodentia; Bathyergidae.